Molecule: ribosomal RNA, 253 nt
Filed under: uncultured bacterium
Lineage: Bacteria
Description: partial 16S ribosomal RNA
Rfam family: Bacterial small subunit ribosomal RNA
Source: RNAcentral
UACGGAGGGUGCGAGCGUUGUUCGGAAUCACUGGGCGUAAAGGGCGUGUAGGCAGUCCGCUAAGUCUGAUGUGAAAGCCCGGGGCUCACCCCCGGAAGUGCAUUGGAAACUGGCGAACUCGAGUCCCGGAGAGGAGAGUGGAAUUCCUGGUGUAGCGGUGAAAUGCGUAGAUAUCAGGAGGAACACCGGUGGCGAAGGCGGCUCUCUGGACGGUGACUGACGCUGAGACGCGAAAGCGUGGGGAGCAAACAGG